This 1344-nucleotide ribosomal RNA is filed under the name uncultured bacterium. RNAcentral's name for it is "16S ribosomal RNA". It matches the Rfam family "Bacterial small subunit ribosomal RNA", at positions 28 to 1378 of the family's 1533-position model. The record is from RNAcentral.
GACGAACGCUUGCGGCGUGCUUAACACAUGCAAGUCGAACGGAAAGGCCCUGCUUUUGUGGGGUGCUCGAGUGGCGAACGGGUGAGUAACACGUGAGUAACCUGCCCUUGACUUUGGGAUAACUUCAGGAAACUGGGGCUAAUACCGGAUAGGAGCUCCUGCUGCAUGGUGGGGGUUGGAAAGUUUCGGCGGUUGGGGAUGGACUCGCGGCUUAUCAGCUUGUUGGUGGGGUAGUGGCUUACCAAGGCUUUGACGGGUAGCCGGCCUGAGAGGGUGACCGGCCACAUUGGGACUGAGAUACGGCCCAGACUCCUACGGGAGGCAGCAGUGGGGAAUAUUGCACAAUGGGCGGAAGCCUGAUGCAGCAACGCCGCGUGCGGGAUGACGGCCUUCGGGUUGUAAACCGCUUUCGCCUGUGACGAAGCGUGAGUGACGGUAAUGGGUAAAGAAGCACCGGCUAACUACGUGCCAGCAGCCGCGGUGAUACGUAGGGUGCGAGCGUUGUCCGGAUUUAUUGGGCGUAAAGGGCUCGUAGGUGGUUGAUCGCGUCGGAAGUGUAAUCUUGGGGCUUAACCCUGAGCGUGCUUUCGAUACGGGUUGACUUGAGGAAGGUAGGGGAGAAUGGAAUUCCCUGGUGGAGCGGUGGAAUGCGCAGAUAUCAGGAGGAACACCAGUGGCGAAGGCGGUUCUCUGGGCCUUUCCUGACGCUGAGGAGCGAAAGCGUGGGGAGCGAACAGGCUUAGAUACCCUGGUAGUCCACGCUGUAAACGGUGGGUACUAGGUGUGGGGUCCAUUCCACGGGUUCCGUGCCGUAGCUAACGCUUUAAGUACCCCGCCUGGGGAGUACGGCCGCAAGGCUAAAACUCAAAGGAAUUGACGGGGCCCCGCACAAGCGGCGGAGCAUGCGGAUUAAUUCGAUGCAACGCGUAGAACCUUACCUGGGUUUGACAUGGAUCGGGAGUGCUCAGAGAUGGGUGUGCCUCUUUUGGGGUCGGUUCACAGGUGGUGCAUGCCUGUCGUCAGCUCGUGUCGUGAGAUGUUGGGUUAAGUCCCGCAACGAGCGCAACCCUUGUUCACUGUUGCCAGCACGUUAUGGUGGGGACUCAGUGGAGACCGCCGGGGUCAACUCGGAGGAAGGUGGGGAUGACGUCAAGUCCUCAUGCCCCUUAUGUCCAGGGCUUCACGCAUGCUACAAUGGCUGGUACAGAGAGUGGCGAGCCUGUGAGGGUGAGCGAAUCUCGGAAAGCCGGUCUCAGUUCGGAUUGGGGUCUGCAACUCGACCUCAUGAAGUCGGAGUCGCUAGUAAUCGCAGAUCAGCAACGCUGCGGUGAAUACGUUCCCGGG